GUCCAGACUCCUACGGGAGGCAGCAGUGGGGGAUAUUGCACAAUGGGGGGAACCCUGAUGCAGCGACGCCGCGUGGGUGAAGGAGUGCUUCGGCAUGUAAAGCCCUAUCGGCAGGGAAGAAGCAAGACGGUACCUGACUAAGAAGCCCCGGCUAACUACGUGCCAGCAGCCGCGGUAAUACGUAGGGGGCGAGCGUUAUCCGGAUUCACUGGGUGUAAAGGGAGCGUAGACGGCGACGCAAGUCUGGAGUGAAAGCCCGGGGCCCAACCCCGGGACUGCUCUGGAAACUGCGUCGCUGGAGUACGGGAGGGGCAGGCGGAAUUCCUGGUGUAGCGGUGAAAUGCGUAGAUAUCAGGAGGAACACCGGCGGCGAAGGCGGCCUGCUGGACCGUGACUGACGUUGAGGCUCGAGAGCGUGGGGAGCAAACAGGAUUAGAUACCCUUGUAAG
Molecule: ribosomal RNA, 449 nt
Filed under: uncultured bacterium
Lineage: Bacteria
Description: bacterial SSU rRNA
Rfam family: Bacterial small subunit ribosomal RNA
Source: RNAcentral